This is a long non-coding RNA of Corvus hawaiiensis (hawaiian crow), 2218 nucleotides long. RefSeq lists it as uncharacterized. The record is from RefSeq and is a predicted model, not a curated record. NCBI's taxonomy places the organism in Eukaryota, Metazoa, Chordata, Aves, Passeriformes, Corvidae. The transcript is spliced from 2 exons.
GGAAGCCACCUCCUUCUCUGCCCCCUCCCCUCGCACACAGGCUUCCCAUCAGCCUCCAUCACUCGUCGGGUGUCGGAGGAGCGGCCACACGGCAGCAUCCCCCGACCUCCCCGGCUGCCCACGCAAAGGUGACAGGCUCUAAUCGCUCCAUCUUCUCACACUCUGCAGGCACAGGAAGGCUGUGAGGUGUGUUUCCAGGAUACCACUUUCCCAGCACCUCAGCCGACACCGGCAAUCUGCAGCGCCUCUGCACGUGUGCCCUCUCUGUAGGUACCUGUAGCCAGACGUGAGGCACCUCAUGUGUCCCAGGCUGCAUUGCCAUCUGUAGAUGGUUUUGCCCUCUCAGAGCCCCCUUGUCUUUCACUGACCACGGAAGUUUAAAACAGGUGCUGAAAGUUUUAGAUGCCUUUUAAAGACCUCCACAGAGGAUAGGGGUGCCUGAAAGACUGGUUGAGAGACAGGGAACUGCUCACCAUGAAAAGGGCUUGCCAAUGGACAUGGUAGGUCCAAGCUGUUCUAUGAGAGGUUGGUUAGUAGGAUAUUAUUUGGGGUAAAGGUCAAAGGCUGGUGCAUCUGCUGUCCAUCUAUGGCUCUACAAGCAAAAUUUUAAUAGGUUGCUACCCUUUGUUCAAUGUUUUUUAACACUCUGUAGCAAUACCCUACACUCCAAAGUUGAAAUAACCAAGAUUACCUGACUGCCAGUUUGCAUUGGCAAGGGAGAGAGAGGAAACAAAAAAUUCUCUUAGUCACAAGCAUUUCCAUGCUUUUGAAAAAAAUGACUGUCUGUUCUUUGGAUGGAGUAUCUGCCAGGUCAGCCAGCUGGAUUCUUUUUUUAAAGUGACUCCAAUUCUUCUUUAGGACAAUGCUUCUUUAGGAAUAGCAGCUCUGCUACUCCGUUCUAUUCCUCAAGCAGUUUCAGAGGUCAUGGAAUGCAGGGACUUAGACUAGAAAACAAAAUUCAGAAAAAUGCACCAUCUUUCUUCCCCACCCUGCCUUGCUCUGCUCGCUGGGGAGUCCUGCACCCAAGUUAUUAGGGAGAACCUAAGAGGUCAUCACUUGUCAUCUUGUCUAAGAUGACAAGAACUUUUCUAUGAGACUAGGCAGUACAGACUGCACCAUCAUUUUCCCUUUCUCUUUCCAGGUGCACAUGGAAAUGUGCUCUCAAAUGUCCUCUAAUAUCUACCUGAUUUAAACACAUGCUUCAAAAGGCGCAUUUGGAUUGUAAAAGGCAUUCAUACAAAAUUAAAGCUUCUCUUGUCAAUUGCAUUUUCCAGUUAAAUGCAGAGAAAUAUGGAAAUAAAUUGAUCUUCUGAACAGUGCUUUGUGGAUGGCAGUGAUGGAUGGUUAAAUGUUCGUAAGUCUAUGAAAUGAACAACCAUGACAGUUCUUGUUCCAUGGGGAACCUCCAGGAACAAGAGAUAUUCUUUCUUUUUGGUUGUUGUGUUGUUUAGUUUUGGGGUUUUUUUUCUUUUUUUCUUUUUUCUUCUUUUUUCAGGGGGUAUGUGUGUGUAUUGUUGAAUUAUUUACUGGGGGGUAGGGAUCGGACCAUAUAGAAUGGCCUUUCCCUCAUUCAGAAUACACCACAGCAUUUAAGUCUCUGAGCCUGAAAUACUGAGCAUUAUUAAGCUUGUUAAUUCCUAUGUAUUCCUAAGUGAGAAACAGAUUGAUCUGCUUAACAGGCUGUGUUUUCCUAGUCAAUAUUUACUUGUCCUUACAUAUAAAUGCUGAUCUUAUUAGGGCAAUAAAUUAUCUCCGUUCUAAUCCAGUUUCGUACAUGAAGCCCUUUUCUUCCUUGGGGCCUCUUUUUGAGAAAUUUUACAGGAUAUGUAGUGCCCAUAACUACUUUGUCUUUCUUCUCUUUCUCAAGGUGUGGUCUUGCAGCCAUUAAGUUCAUUGCAGAGGAGAAACUAAAUGCUUUCCAGCUGCACAAUUUCUCAUGUAUGAAGUAUGGUGGGACUGUGGAAAGCCAUAUACCAUUACCUGCCUACAGUCACUAAUGUAACAUGCGCAGAUGGACAAAGAGAUGUUUGCCUUCCCAGCCUGAAAGUGAUUUGAAAAGAUGUCAGCGUCUGGAUGGAUGGAAGUGAACACCCAGCACUGUUGCAUUAUCCAUGCUCUGAGCUGAGGGAACAAGAGGGUCAGCCUAAAAGCCAUAUUGAUAUAUGAUGUUUCUAUGCAUAAGGUCAUCUGAUUAAGAGAUUAUGUGGCUUAAGUGCUA